RNAcentral lists this small RNA (383 nucleotides) under Vigna angularis var. angularis. Its description in RNAcentral is "Non-protein coding transcript". Lineage: Eukaryota; Viridiplantae; Streptophyta; Magnoliopsida; Fabales; Fabaceae. The record is from RNAcentral.
CCUGCAGGUUUGUUGCUGUUAGCCUCUGCAGGACAGAUGUUUCCUGAAGGCUUGUUGUUGUUCAGGGCAGUUAAGUCCCUGAAGGUUUGUUGUUGUUUAGGGUAGUUAAAUCCUACAGGUUUGUGGCUGUUAGCCUUUGAAGGCCUCCAUAUGUUACUAAUAGAAAUCAUGUUCUUAAAGUUUUGUUACUGUUCGCCACUAUUGAUAGCAAUCCAGUCCCUGCAGUUUGUUGUUGUUCGCCAUUGGAGGCCCUUCAUCUGUUCUUGUAGUUUUUGAUGUUUGCUGCUGCAAGUCAUCAUCCAUUUUUGAUGGAAAUCUCUCUCGUCCAUUGUUGUCCAAGUUGAAGUUUCAUGGUGCUCGUUCGCCCUCGUCCAUUGCUGUCC